AGCGAACGUUGGCAGUGUGUCUUAAGCAUGCAAGUCGAACGGCAGCAGGCCAUGUAGCAAUAUAUGGUGCUGGCGAGUGGCGAACUGGUGAGUAACACGUAAGAAUCUGCCCUAAGGUGGGGGAUAACUCAUGGAAACAUGAGCUAAUACCGCAUAAUGCGAAGCUUAUAGAGAUAUAAGUUUUGUUAAAGGAGAAAUCCGCCGUAGGAUGAGCUUGCGUCCCAUUAGCUAGUUGGCGGGGUAAAUGCCCACCAAGGCUAUGAUGGGUAGCUGGCCUGAGAGGGUGGUCAGCCACACUGGGACUGAGAUACGGCCCAGACUCCUACGGGAGGCAGCAGCUAAGAAUUUUCCUCAAUGGGGGAAACCCUGAAGGAGCGACACUGCGUGCAGGAUGAAGGCCCUUUGGGUUGUAAACUGCUUUUGCAGGGGAGAAAGUAACCGAAUGGGAUGAUAGUACUCUGCGAAUAAGUCCCGGACUAACUACGUGCC
This 489-nucleotide ribosomal RNA is filed under the name uncultured bacterium. Its description in RNAcentral is "bacterial SSU rRNA". It matches the Rfam family "Bacterial small subunit ribosomal RNA", at positions 29 to 509 of the family's 1533-position model. The record is from RNAcentral.